GUGAUAGAGCAAAGAAAAAGGCUAAGUUCAGACGCCGUGGAAGCUGUCAGAAAGUAACAAUGGUCACCAUCUCUGAACCGGACCCUGGACUCUCUGAGGAACCUGAGGACACGUCUUUGGACCGGGAGGAGACCAGGAAGAGAAGAUUUGCUCUAUGUUUGCCCAUCACUCUCAUUGUGAGCCUCGGACUGCUGAUUAUCCUCACGAUCUCCCUGCGCCUCAGUUCAGUGAUGCCCACGGAGGAGGAGGAGGAGGCCCCCAGCAUCACAGAGUUCCACUCCUCUACCCACGUGUUGCCCGUGGGCCAAACGGCCCGCUACACCUGCCACGCCGGCGGCACGCCGGAGCCCACAGUAGAGUGGCUCCACAACGGCAGGCCCCUGGAGAGGGACGGCACAGACGACCAAUCAGAGGCCUGGGUGGAGAGGGGGUUCCUCUUCGUCAGAGGUGGGAGGUACGGCGUGAACACGGUCUGCUGCAUGGCGAGCAACAGCGCUGGCACGGCCAAUCACACCGCUGAACUGCUUGUCUUUGGUAAGUCCUGGAUCCAAGGAGAGAUGUUUGUUGUUGAUGUAUUCAUAACAUUACUGUUGAUAUAUUCAUAGUGUUUUUGUUGAUAUAUUCAUAGCAUUGUUGUUGACAUAUAUUGUCUGUACAUUGUGGCAACCCGCUCCUUGAGUGAGCCGAGUUCCAUGUACAAAUCACGCUUGGCAGCAAGGGUUUAAGUCGAUCACGGCAUUUAUUGCGUACAUCUGUGACAGGCAAAGUAAACGCGGUAUCUAGGGCCUCCGUGGGCCUCUAGUCUCUCGCGGACCAGAGCGCUACCUUCUUCCUUGCUCCCGUUUGCCUUUUAUAGUCUUUCCCUGGCUGUCCAGGCAGGUGUCUCCCAUCCCGCUGAUUGGGGUUCGGUUGGUGCUCUCCGUCGCCCACUGGUGGGUGACGGUGGUAUCGGCCAUCCCGGACCAACCCUCGGGCUGGUCCGGGCCGAGGUUUACGGGGCGGGAUGCCACAACAUAUAUAUGGUAGGGGUGUAACGGUACACUGAAUUCAUGAUUUGGUUCAUACCUCGGUUCAUGGUUCGGCACGAGUUCGGUACAAUGAAGGGAAAAGAAAAAACAAAAAUGCAGAAGGCAAUUCUUUUUUAUUGUGCAUGUCUCAGGUUGUACCACGUAGUGUCAUACAGUCUCUCCCCUGAGCUAGCUGCAACAGCCUGAACUGUGUAAUCUAAGGCUACGUUUACACGAUGACGGUCUGAACAAAAGUGGUGUUGCGUAUUCACUUUUUAUUCCGCGUUUAGACGAGUGAUUUCGGGAGGAAAUCUGCGUGCAUACGGUGACGCAAAAGUGUGUGGAAUUCGAUUGGGUAUGCAUGCCAG
Molecule: long non-coding RNA, 1375 nt
Filed under: Gadus morhua (Atlantic cod)
Lineage: Eukaryota; Metazoa; Chordata; Actinopteri; Gadiformes; Gadidae
Description: lncRNA (ENSGMOG00000030128.1)
Source: RNAcentral